AGUGAACGCUGGCGGCAGGCCUAACACAUGCAAGUCGAACGGAAGGACAGUAAGAGUUUGCUUUUACGGGUGGCGGGUGGCGGACGGGUGAGGAAUACAUCGGAAUCUUCUUUUUCGUGGGGGAUAACGUAGGGACAGUUACGCUAAUACCGCAUAUGACCUACCGGUGAGAGCAGGGGAUCUUCGCACCUUGCGUGAUUGUAUGAGCCGAGGCCGGUUUAGCUGGUUGGCUGGGUAAAGGCCUACCAAGGCGACGAUACGUAGCUGGUCUGAGAGGAUGAUCGGCCACACUGGAACGGAGACACGGUCCAGACUCCUACGGGAGGCAGCAGUGGGGAAUAUUGGGCAAUGGGCGCAAGCCUGACCCAGCCAUACCGCGUGGGUGAAGAAGGCCUUCGGGUCGUAAAGCCCUGUUGUUGGGAAAGAAAAGCAGUAGAUUAAUACCCCGCUGUUCUGACGGUACCCAAAGAAUAAGCACCGGCUAACUUCGUG
RNAcentral lists this ribosomal RNA (492 nucleotides) under uncultured bacterium. RNAcentral describes it as "partial 16S ribosomal RNA". It matches the Rfam family "Bacterial small subunit ribosomal RNA", at positions 29 to 507 of the family's 1533-position model. The record is from RNAcentral.